RNAcentral lists this small nuclear RNA (166 nucleotides) under Pogona vitticeps (central bearded dragon). RNAcentral's name for it is "U1 spliceosomal RNA (ENSPVIG00000002403.1)". It matches the Rfam family "U1 spliceosomal RNA". Rfam says of the family: U1 is a small nuclear RNA (snRNA) component of the spliceosome (involved in pre-mRNA splicing). Lineage: Eukaryota; Metazoa; Chordata; Lepidosauria; Squamata; Agamidae. The record is from Rfam by way of RNAcentral.
AUUCAUACCUUGUAGGGGAAAUACCAUGUUGUAAAAAUGUUUUUUCCAGGGAGAGGCUCAUCCAUUGCACUUUGGGUGUGCUGUUGACCCCUGUGAUUUCCCCAAAUGUGGGGAACUCAACUACAUAAUUGUUGUUAAUGGGGCAUUAUAUUUGUGAUUUCUCUCU